AGUGAACGCUGGCGGUAGGCCUAACACAUGCAAGUCGAACGGCAGCACAGUAAGAGCUUGCUCUUACGGGUGGCGAGUGGCGGACGGGUGAGGAAUACAUCGGAAUCUACUUUUUCGUGGGGGAUAACGUAGGGAAACUUACGCUAAUACCGCAUACGACCUACGGGUGAAAGCAGGGGAUCUUCGGACCUUGCGCGAUUGAAUGAGCCGAUGUCGGAUUAGCUAGUUGGCGGGGUAAAGGCCCACCAAGGCGACGAUCCGUAGCUGGUCUGAGAGGAUGAACAGCCCCACUGGAAAUGAGACACGGUCCAGACUCCUACGGGAGGCCACAGUUGGGAAUAUUGGACAAAGGGCGGAAGCCUGAUCCAGCCAUACCGCGGGGGUGAAGAAGGCCUUCGGGUUGUAAAGCCCUUUUGUUGGGAAAGAAAAGCAGCAGGUUAAUACCCCGCUGUUCUGACGGUACCCAAAGAAUAAGCACCGGCUAACUUCGUG
This 492-nucleotide ribosomal RNA is filed under the name uncultured bacterium. RNAcentral describes it as "partial 16S ribosomal RNA". It matches the Rfam family "Bacterial small subunit ribosomal RNA", at positions 29 to 507 of the family's 1533-position model. The record is from RNAcentral.